AAGAAAGUGGCAGAAUGGCUAUGCGGUCGGCUUGAAACCGGCACAAGGGGGUUCGACUCCUCCCUUUCUCG
This 71-nucleotide transfer RNA is filed under the name Oligolepis formosanus (Formosan arrowfin goby). RNAcentral's name for it is "tRNA-Ser". It matches the Rfam family "tRNA". Rfam says of the family: Transfer RNA (tRNA) molecules are approximately 80 nucleotides in length. Their secondary structure includes four short double-helical elements and three loops (D, anti-codon, and T loops). Lineage: Eukaryota; Metazoa; Chordata; Actinopteri; Gobiiformes; Gobiidae. The record is from RNAcentral.